AAACAUGUUUCUGCAUACCAACUAUAUACUCACAAGUGAGGUCUGCGGAGGGGAAAGUGAUUGCAGACCUUACACCUAUCCCGUGAAGUGGAAAGUGAUAACAGACGUUACACAACUACACCGUGGAGGUAGAGAGCUGUAUUCGAAAGACCCUCAGCUCAAGUGCAACAAAUCAAAGUGAUUCUUCCCUGACACCAAAUCAAUCUACUCAUGUAUAAGCGGAAAGUGAUAGCAGACAUUACACAACUACACCGUGGAGGUAGAGAGCUGUAUUUGAAAGACCCUAAGCUCAAGUGCAACAAAUCAAAGUAAUUCUUCCACGACACCAAAUCAACCUAAUCAUGUAUAAGCGGAAAGUGAUGGCAUACAUUACACAACUACAGCAUGGAGGUAGAGAGGCUGUAUUCGAAAGACCCUCAGCUCAGGUGCAACAAAUCAAAGUAAUCCUUCCCCGACGCCAAAUCAAUCUAAUCAUGUACGACCAAGUUCCAGUAACAAGAGUCAUUGUUACAGAUGCACAAGACACAAUCUGCAUGGUGUAGUUGUAUACAAAAUUUGACAUAUUUGCUAAUUUUCACACUCAUCUUUCUCAUCUCAUAAAUGAGACAUAACCUCUCAACCAUGAAUCCUAAGCUCAGCAAUCAGCAUUAACAGUUCACAACAUUGACCCAAAACAACA
Molecule: long non-coding RNA, 679 nt
Filed under: Capsicum annuum
Lineage: Eukaryota; Viridiplantae; Streptophyta; Magnoliopsida; Solanales; Solanaceae
Description: long non-coding RNA (CANN_LNC020037)
Source: RNAcentral